UGUAGGAGAUGAACAGGCAAAUCCGUUCAUCAAUCCGAAGACGUGAUGCGGACCGAAUUAAGAGUAGGGAAGUGUGUGAGCCAUGCGUCAAGAAAAGCCGCUAUUGUUUUACUUAAGCCCGUACCGUAAACCGACACAGGUGGAUGAGGAGAGAAUCCUAAGGCCGACGGGAGAAGCAUUGUUAAGGAACUCGGCAAAAUGACUCCGUAACUUCGGGAGAAGGAGUGCCAGCGAGAGCUGGCCGCAGAGAAUUGGCCCAAGCAACUGUUUAGCAAAAACACAGGUCUAUGCAAAACCGUAAGGUGAAGUAUAUGGGCUGACGCCUGCCCGGUGCUGGAAGGUUAAGAGGAGAGGUUAGCGGUAACGCGAAGCUUUGAAUUUAAGCCCCAGUAAACGGCGGCCGUAACAAUAACGGUCCUGAGGUAGCGAAAUUCCUUGUCGGGUAAGUUCCGACCCGCACGAAAGGCGUAAUGAUUUGGGCACUGUCUCAACAAUGCACCCGGUGAAAUUGAAAUACCAGUGAAGAUGCUGGUUACCUGCGCCAGGACGGAAAGACCCCAUGGAGCUUUACUCCAGCUUGAUACUGGGAUUCGGUAUUGCAUGUACAGGAUAGGUGGGAGGCUAGGAAGUGAUAACGCCAGUUGUCACGGAGCCGCUGUUGGGAUACCACCCUUGCAGUAUUGGAUUUCUAACCAGCGACCAUGAACUGGUCGGGGGACAAUGUCAGGUGGGGAGUUUGACUGGGGCGGUCGCCUCCGAAAGGGUAUCGGAGGCGCUCAAAGGUUCCCUCAGAAUGGACGGAAACCAUUCGAAGAGUGCAAAGGCAGAAGGGAGCUUGACUGCGACACCGACGGGUGGAGCAGGUACGAAAGUAGGACUUAGUGAUCCGGUGGUAUAAAGUGGGAUUGCCAUCGCUCAACGGAUAAAAGCUACCCUGGGAUAACAUGCUUAUCACUCCCAAGAGUUCACAUCGACGGAGUGGUUUGGCACCUCGAUGUCGGCUCAUCGCAUCCUGGGGCUGAAGUAGGUCCCAAGGGUUGGGCUGUUCGCCCAUUAAAGCGGUACGCGAGCUGGGUUCAGAACGUCGUGAGACAGUUCGGUCCCUAUCCGGCGUGGGCGUAGGAUAUUUGAGAGGAGCUGUCCUUAGUACGAGAGGACCGGGAUGGACUGGCCGCUGGUGUAUCUGUUGCAUACCAAAUGCAUGGCAGAGUAGCCAAGCCGGGACGGGAUAAACGCUGAAGGCAUCUAAGCGUGAAGCCCCCCUCAAGAUGAGAUAUCCCUACGUAAGUAGUAAGACCCCUUGAAGACGACAAGGUAGAUAGGUCAGAGGUGGAAGUACAGUAAUGUAUGGAGCUGACUGAUACUAAUCGGUCGAGGGCAUGACC
This 1385-nucleotide ribosomal RNA is filed under the name metagenome. RNAcentral describes it as "bacterial LSU rRNA". It matches the Rfam family "Bacterial large subunit ribosomal RNA", at positions 1519 to 2925 of the family's 2925-position model. The record is from RNAcentral.